GCUAGCUACAGGCUUAACACAUGCAAGUCGAGGGGCAGCAUUUUAGUUUGCUUGCAAACUGAAGAUGGCGACCGGCGCACGGGUGAGUAGCACGUAUCCAACCUGCCGAUAACUCCGGAAUAGCCUUUCGAAAGAAAGAUUAAUACCGGAUGGCAUACGAAUAUCGCAUGAUAUUUUUAUUAAAGAAUUUCGGUUAUCGAUGGGGAUGCGUUCCAUUAGUUUGUUGGCGGGGUAACGGCCCACCAAGACUACGAUGGAUAGGGGUUCUGAGAGGAAGGUCCCCCACAUUGGAACUGAGACACGGUCCAAACUCCUACGGGAGGCAGCAGUGAGGAAUAUUGGUCAAUGGGCGCGAGCCUGAACCAGCCAAGUAGCGUGAAGGAUGAAGGCUCUAUGGGUCGUAAACUUCUUUUAUAUGGGAAUAAAGUUUUCCACGUGUGGAAUUUUGUAUGUACCAUAUGAAUAAGGAUCGGCUAACUCCGUGCCAGCAGCCGCGGUAAUACGGAGGAUCCGAGCGUUAUCCGGAUUUAUUGGGUUUAAAGGGAGCGUAGGUGGAUUGUUAAGUCAGUUGUGAAAGUUUGCGGCUCAACCGUAAAAUUGCAGUUGAAACUGGCAGUCUUGAGUACAGUAGAGGUGGGCGGAAUUCGUGGUGUAGCGGUGAAAUGCUUAGAUAUCACGAAGAACUCCGAUUGCGAAGGCAGCUCACUAGACUGUCACUGACACUGAUGCUCGAAAGUGUGGGUAUCAAACAGGAUUAGAUACCCUGGUAGUCCACACAGUAAACGAUGAAUACUCGCUGUUUGCGAUAUACAGUAAGCGGCCAAGCGAAAGCAUUAAGUAUUCCACCUGGGGAGUACGCCGGCAACGGUGAAACUCAAAGGAAUUGACGGGGGCCCGCACAAGCGGAGGAACAUGUGGUUUAAUUCGAUGAUACGCGAGGAACCUUACCCGGGCUUAAAUUGCAACAGAAUAUAUUGGAAACAGUAUAGCCGUAAGGCUGUUGUGAAGGUGCUGCAUGGUUGUCGUCAGCUCGUGCCGUGAGGUGUCGGCUUAAGUGCCAUAACGAGCGCAACCCUUAUCUUUAGUUACUAACAGGUCAUGCUGAGGACUCUAGAGAGACUGCCGUCGUAAGAUGUGAGGAAGGUGGGGAUGACGUCAAAUCAGCACGGCCCUUACGUCCGGGGCUACACACGUGUUACAAUGGGGGGUACAGAAGGCGGCUACCUGGUGGCAGGAUGCUAAUCCCAAAAACCUCUCUCAGUUCGGAUCGAAGUCUGCAACCCGACUUCGUGAAGCUGGAUUCGCUAGUAAUCGCGCAUCAGCCAUGGCGCGGUGAAUACGUUCCCGGGCCUUGUACACACCGCCCGUCAAGCCAUGAAAGCCGGGGGUACCUGAAGUACGUAACCGCAAGGAGCGUCCUAGGGUAAAACUGGUAAUUGGGGC
Molecule: ribosomal RNA, 1443 nt
Filed under: uncultured organism
Description: SSU rRNA
Rfam family: Bacterial small subunit ribosomal RNA
Source: RNAcentral